This 44-nucleotide ribosomal RNA is filed under the name Phytophthora cinnamomi. Its description in RNAcentral is "partial 28S ribosomal RNA". The record is from RNAcentral. Lineage: Eukaryota; Oomycota; Peronosporomycetes; Peronosporales; Peronosporaceae.
UUGGACCUGAUAUCAGGCAAGAUUACCCGCUAAACGAAUCAGAG